ACUCAAAUGAAUUGACGGGGACCCGCACAAGCGGUGGAUGAUGUGGAUUAAUUCGAUGCAACGCGAAAAACCUUACCUACCCUUGACAUGGUACAGAUCCUGCAGAGAUGCGGGAGUGCUCGCAAGAGAAUGUAUACACAGGUGCUGCAUGGCUGUCGUCAGCUCGUGUCGUGAGAUGUUGGGUUAAGUCCCGCAACGAGCGCAACCCUUGUCAUUAAUUGCUACCAUUAAGUUGAGCACUUUAAUGAGACUGCCGGUGACAAACCGGAGGAAGGUGGGGAUGACGUCAAGUCCUCAUGGCCCUUAUGGGUAGGGCUUCACACGUCAUACAAUGGUGCAUACAGAGGGUUGCCAAGCCGCGAGGCGGAGCUAAUCUCAGAAAGUGCAUCGUAGUCCGGAUUGGAGUCUGCAACCCGACUCCAUGAAGUUGGAAUCGCUAGUAAUCGCGGAUCAGCAUGUCGCGGUGAAUACGUUCCCGGGUCUUGCACACACCGCCCGU
This 499-nucleotide ribosomal RNA is filed under the name uncultured bacterium. RNAcentral describes it as "partial 16S ribosomal RNA". It matches the Rfam family "Bacterial small subunit ribosomal RNA", at positions 899 to 1397 of the family's 1533-position model. The record is from RNAcentral.